Molecule: ribosomal RNA, 253 nt
Filed under: uncultured bacterium
Lineage: Bacteria
Description: partial 16S ribosomal RNA
Rfam family: Bacterial small subunit ribosomal RNA
Source: RNAcentral
UACGUAGGGGGCAAGCGUUGUCCGGAAUCAUUGGGCGUAAAGAGCGUGUAGGUGGCUCGGUAAGUCCGUUGUGAAAGUCCAGGGCUCAACCCUGGAAUGCCGGUGGAAACUGUCGAGCUAGAGUCCGGAAGAGGCGAGUGGAAUUCCUGGUGUAGCGGUGAAAUGCGCAGAUAUCAGGAGGAACACCAAUGGCGAAGGCAGCUCGCUGGGACGGUACUGACGCUGAGACGCGAAAGCGUGGGGAGCAAACAGG